Long non-coding RNA from Theobroma cacao (cacao), 431 nucleotides. RefSeq lists it as uncharacterized. NCBI's taxonomy places the organism in Eukaryota, Viridiplantae, Streptophyta, Magnoliopsida, Malvales, Malvaceae. The record is from RefSeq and is a predicted model, not a curated record.
CGGGGCUAUAAAAUGGAGGUGGAGGGGAAGAUGCUUUACACAAGAAAAGAGCAUGCAAAACCUAGCUGCAUAUUCCCCAAAAAUGAAGGCAUUUCUUAUAGUUUUCACUCUCUUGCUUUCCACCCUUCUGAUGUUCACCAGUCCUUCCUCAGCUCGAGCAAUAGUUGCGCAGAAAAAACAAAGCACUGAAGAGCCAAAGCCGGAACCAAGUCCGAAGGCACGGAAGCCACCAAAAAAAAAGGGGUAAAUUGCAAAGGAAAUCAAAUCAAGAAAGCUGAGAAUAUGGUUAAUAAUAAGUUUGCUUCUUCAUGUUGUCCAGGGUAGCUGUGUAAUUAUGAAUGUUUUUGCACUUGUUUGAUGCAGUUUUAUGGAUGUUUGGGAAAUAAAAAGGGCUUGUAAAAGAGUUCGAAUAAAUUACUCUUUCUUUUUUA